This 71-nucleotide transfer RNA is filed under the name Dipodomys ordii (Ord's kangaroo rat). It matches the Rfam family "tRNA". From Rfam's summary of the family: Transfer RNA (tRNA) molecules are approximately 80 nucleotides in length. The record is from Rfam by way of RNAcentral. Lineage: Eukaryota; Metazoa; Chordata; Mammalia; Rodentia; Heteromyidae.
GGAAAUGUGGCUUAGUGGUAGAGUGCUUGCCUACCAUGCAUGAAGCCCUGGGUUUCGAUUCCUCAGUGCCA